Molecule: ribosomal RNA, 429 nt
Filed under: Actinomycetes bacterium
Lineage: Bacteria; Bacillati; Actinomycetota; Actinomycetes
Description: Actinobacteria bacterium partial 16S ribosomal RNA
Rfam family: Bacterial small subunit ribosomal RNA
Source: RNAcentral
UAGGGAAUCUUCCGCAAUGGGCGAAAGCCUGACGGAGCAACGCCGCGUGAGUGAUGAAGGUCUUCGGAUCGUAAAACUCUGUUAUUAGGGAAGAACAAAUGUGUAAGUAACUAUGCACGUCUUGACGGUACCUAAUCAGAAAGCCACGGCUAACUACGUGCCAGCAGCCGCGGUAAUACGUAGGUGGCAAGCGUUAUCCGGAAUUAUUGGGCGUAAAGCGCGCGUAGGCGGUUUUUUAAGUCUGAUGUGAAAGCCCACGGCUCAACCGUGGAGGGUCAUUGGAAACUGGAAAACUUGAGUGCAGAAGAGGAAAGUGGAAUUCCAUGUGUAGCGGUGAAAUGCGCAGAGAUAUGGAGGAACACCAGUGGCGAAGGCGACUUUCUGGUCUGUAACUGACGCUGAUGCGCGAAAGCGUGGGGAUCAAACAGG